CAGUCGCCGCGGGAAUACGAAGGGUGCAAGCGUUACUCGGAAUUACUGGGCGUAAAGCGUGCGUAGGUGGUUGUUUAAGUCUGCUGUGAAAGCCCUGGGCUCAACCUGGGAAUUGCAGUGGAUACUGGGCAACUAGAGUAAGGUAGAGGAUAGUGGAAUUUCCGGUGUAGCAGUGAAAUGCGUAGAGAUCGGAAGGAACAUCUGUGGCGAAGGCGACUAUCUGGGCCAUUACUGACACUGAGGCACGAAAGCGUGGGGAGCAAACAGGAUUAGAUACCCCCGUAGUCCCUGUCUCUUAUAA
RNAcentral lists this ribosomal RNA (301 nucleotides) under uncultured bacterium. RNAcentral describes it as "partial 16S ribosomal RNA". It matches the Rfam family "Bacterial small subunit ribosomal RNA", at positions 509 to 809 of the family's 1533-position model. The record is from RNAcentral.